UAAUGUCCAUUUCCUCACCCCCACGUUCCCUCCUCAUUAAUUUAAUCUAAUUUGCUCACAACAUUCCUUGGUAAACAGCGGCCUCCCUUUAAUAAGCCAGGCUCUUCCCGACCCUGCAAUUGUGUUCCUAAUCAGCUCGUGUAUCAGGAAGACUUGUUGCUAAUUGUCUCAAGGCAUCCGCACUACUCUGUGUGUCAGGUGGGAAUCUGGCUCCAAUAUCCACAGUUAAUUUCUUCACCUUUGUUCAAAUGCUACCUUCUCAGAGAAAGUCUGAAUUGACCUAUAUCAAGUAAAGAAAUUGAAUUAAUAUGAAAACUUUCUCACAAAGAAUCUCAGGGUGGGCAUCAGAGGCCAGCCCCCACCCCAGGGAGUUCUAAUUUAGAAGAGGGGCCCUGUUCAUCUGCUUCCAGCUACUGUCUCCAAG
Non-coding RNA from Heterocephalus glaber (naked mole-rat), 424 nucleotides. Lineage: Eukaryota; Metazoa; Chordata; Mammalia; Rodentia; Bathyergidae. The record is from RefSeq and is a predicted model, not a curated record.